UGCCAGCCGCCGCGGUAAUACGGAGGGUGCAAGCGUUACUCGGAAUUACUGGGCGUAAAGGGGGCGCAGGCGGUUUUGUAUGUUGAUUGUGAAAGCCCAUGACUUAAUCAUGGAACUGCGAUCAAAACUGCAAGACUAGAGUACGGGAGAGGAAAGUGGAAUUCUCAGUGUAGAGGUGAAAUUCGUAGAUAUUGAGAGGAACACCGGCGGCGAAGGCGGCUUUCUGGAACGAUACUGACGCUGAGGCCCGAAAGCGCGGGUAGCAAACAGGAUUAGGUC
RNAcentral lists this ribosomal RNA (279 nucleotides) under uncultured bacterium. RNAcentral's name for it is "partial 16S ribosomal RNA". It matches the Rfam family "Bacterial small subunit ribosomal RNA", at positions 506 to 784 of the family's 1533-position model. The record is from RNAcentral.